Scaptodrosophila lebanonensis is the source of this 436-nucleotide long non-coding RNA. RefSeq lists it as uncharacterized. The transcript has 3 exons. The record is from RefSeq and is a predicted model, not a curated record. NCBI's taxonomy places the organism in Eukaryota, Metazoa, Arthropoda, Insecta, Diptera, Drosophilidae.
UCUCGAACUGGUUAUCUAUAGAUUAUAUUCGUCAUGACUAACGCAUUUGGAAGCUGUGGGGCUCUAACCCGUAAAAUGAAAUCCGAGUACUGGAAUAUGGCUGGCUUCUCCACUGAGCCCUGGUACGAUCUAUUUACUACAUUGGGUGCACGUAAUACUCCAAUAAUUCCCACUGCUGCCGCUGGCACAGCCUUGACUUACAAUCAUCUGAUGUUGUCAAGAAUGCUGCUCUAAAUCGGGGGAAGCUUAUCCGCUCGUAACUUACUAUAUAGAAACCAACUUGAUUAAGGAACCGAAACACUAAUCUGGCAACAAACACGAACACUGAAUAGAUUGGGCAGUUCUUUGAGGCAACAAUAAUUGAAUCGUUACAUCAAUUCUCUUAUUUCAGCAGCAUUCAUUAAUUCAAUAAUAAGGACAAAUAUUCGUAUCUUAA